Molecule: non-coding RNA, 107 nt
Organism: Gossypium arboreum
Lineage: Eukaryota; Viridiplantae; Streptophyta; Magnoliopsida; Malvales; Malvaceae
Source: Rfam
AUUCCGUGAUGAGGGCACUUUCGUAAUAACUCUUUGAAUCUUUCCCAUGCCUCAUACAAGGACUCAUCAUCCAUUUGUUGGAAAGCAGUGAUCUCAUUUCUUAGCUU